CACGUAGUUUAAAAGAAUAUAUGUAUUUAUGCCUUGAAAACGAAACCGAAAUUGAAAUAACUUCCACCGACGGGUGUCGCCGCGAUCGCUGCUGAGUCUCGCGGCGGGCCGCCGGGUGCACAUGUGUGUGUUCUCCGUGACAGUCUUGAAGUUGUGAGUAAUUAGAUUGUUUUUCGCUACGUUUAGGUUGCACCACCUCGUUGUUUUCGUGUACUUUCGUGCUCAUCGACGCGAAGGGAGCAUCCGGACUGAAGGCGACGCGAUUAUGCGUGAGAAAGAAAGGCAGUAGCGGCCUACGACAUCGGUGUUUCUUUGUGACAGUGUGUUUACUAUGCCUACGACGGCCGUCAUUCGUGGCCAACGAGAAAACAUCUUCCAUUCGGCCUGACCAGUGAUAAAGUGGACUUUUUUUUUCGGCGGAAUCCAUCGUCAACAUCGUCCAUCCACUACGUAAACGAAAUGGCGUGCCCAGAGUAUACAUCGUGACAGCGCUCCGCCUUCAAACCGAGGGCCUUUUGCAAGGCGCAUGGACGGCUCAUAUAAAAGGUAGAAAACAAGCAGAUGGCUACAGCGAUCAAUGAAGAAAUGGCUUCAUCUAUGAUGGCUCGCCUUAGGACAUUGGAAUGGAGCUACACAAAGGCAUCACCAGCCUCGCCUGUGCCCUGGAACAUUGGUUUGAAUAAGACUGUUCUUCAGUGUAGAACGACCACAAGACUUGUCACCUCAUACAAGGCGUAGUGCAAGCUCUAAAUAUUGUACAGGUGGCUAGAAUAAAUGACCCUCCAUGCAGUCACUCUUCCUGUA
Dermacentor andersoni is the source of this 804-nucleotide long non-coding RNA. RefSeq lists it as uncharacterized. NCBI's taxonomy places the organism in Eukaryota, Metazoa, Arthropoda, Arachnida, Ixodida, Ixodidae. The record is from RefSeq and is a predicted model, not a curated record.